Suricata suricatta (meerkat) is the source of this 202-nucleotide long non-coding RNA. RefSeq lists it as uncharacterized. The transcript is spliced from 3 exons. Lineage: Eukaryota; Metazoa; Chordata; Mammalia; Carnivora; Herpestidae. The record is from RefSeq and is a predicted model, not a curated record.
CAGAAAUCAAGAGUUGGACGCUCAACCAACUGAACCAGGCAGCUAUAGAAACAGAAGCCCAGACUGUAAGAAUCUUGCCCAGGAUACAGCCCUCUGCACAGGCCGCGUGUUCUGUCUGCACCACGACUGAUGCCAGGACUGAGGCUGCAGCUCCAGGCCCUCAGGGCGGCUGGAUGGCUCAGUCCGCUAAGCAUCCGACUUA